This is a long non-coding RNA of Amphimedon queenslandica, 788 nucleotides long. RefSeq lists it as uncharacterized. The record is from RefSeq and is a predicted model, not a curated record. NCBI's taxonomy places the organism in Eukaryota, Metazoa, Porifera, Demospongiae, Haplosclerida, Niphatidae. The transcript is spliced from 5 exons.
UCGACAUUCAUUCCUUUUUAUAUCAAGCCACGCCUAGGCCCACGCAGCCCACGUGAUACCACGUGUGUAAAAUGGUGUCUAUCUUAUUCUCAGAAGACUUUUGUGCCCCAAGUCCGCAACUAGCACCAACUAGUCAUGGGAUUACUGUUCCUAUUGUGUUUUGGAGCCAUCAACCUCCAGUACACGAUAUUACCUGUAUGACCAGGACAGAGGAGGAUAAAGGAGGAGCUACUGGUACUAAAACGGGACAGAUUUGUAUCUGGAACUUAUGCAGGAAGAGAAUCAAUGGAGAUAUUGUGUUAUGUCUGAGACUAUUAUUACUAGGAAUGCAAUCUGGAGACAGGGACAGGAUUGUCAGUUUUAGUAAAAACGGAUGCGUUGAUGUGCAUUGUGGGAUGGUAAAGAUGGGAUGUGUCUUAAGACUGUUAAUAAUCUUGGAAAUGGAAUGCAUUAUGGAAUAAAGCUGCAGGUGUGGGGUCUAUCAUUGGUAAGCUUCAUUGAGAGGAAGGUUCUGCUGCUCCUGAUUUCAAGUCUCAUUUCACUGGCUCUCUCUCUGACUCAUGGCAGUCCCCAGCCACUCCUUGUUCCCUUAUUGACUCAGUUGUCAGUUAUCAUAUUCCUGGGAAUUCCCAACCAUUGCAAUCAUUACAUGCUCAAUGGGACAUGGCCACAAAUUACCAAAUUGAAACUUGCCAAUCAACAAAAUUCACCAAAUUACUCCCUCUAAUAUUACUAGCCUUACAUGUACAUGUACAAUGUGUUGUACCCUCUUUUUCAACCCUCCAUCU